GGGGAUCUAGCUCAGUGGUAGAGCGCUUGCCUAGGAAGCUCAAGGCCCUGGGUUCGGUCCCCAGCUCCG
This 69-nucleotide transfer RNA is filed under the name Rattus norvegicus (Norway rat). It matches the Rfam family "tRNA". From Rfam's summary of the family: Transfer RNA (tRNA) molecules are approximately 80 nucleotides in length. Their secondary structure includes four short double-helical elements and three loops (D, anti-codon, and T loops). The record is from Rfam by way of RNAcentral. Lineage: Eukaryota; Metazoa; Chordata; Mammalia; Rodentia; Muridae.